UUCCUGAUGUUUUGUCAGAAUCUCCUUUCUUGUAACUUGAAGCCAUUGGACCUGCCCUCCAGAGCCUGAGAAAACAAGCUUGCGCCAUCUUCCAUGUGACAGCCCUUGAUAUAUUUGAAGAUGGCUAUCACAUCUCCUCUCUGUCUCCUCUUUUCCAGGCUAAACAUCCCCAGUUACUUCAAGC
Non-coding RNA from Podarcis lilfordi (Lilford's wall lizard), 184 nucleotides. The record is from the annotation of a GenBank genome assembly. NCBI's taxonomy places the organism in Eukaryota, Metazoa, Chordata, Lepidosauria, Squamata, Lacertidae.